GACGAACGCUGGCGGCGUGCUUAACACAUGCAAGUCGAACGGAAAGGCCCUGCUUUUGUGGGGUGCUCGAGUGGCGAACGGGUGAGUAACACGUGAGUAACCUGCCCUUGACUUUGGGAUAACUUCAGGAAACUGGGGCUAAUACCGGAUAGGAGCUCCUGCUGCAUGGUGGGGGUUGAAAGUUUCGGCGGUUGGGGACGGACUCGCGGCUUAUCAGCUUGUUGGUGGGGUAGUGGCUUACCAAGGCUUUGACGGGUAGCCGGCCUGAGAGGGUGACCGGCCACAUUGGGACUGAGAUACGGCCCAGACUCCUACGGGAGGCAGCAGUGGGGAAUAUUGCACAAUGGGCGGAAGCCUGAUGCAGCAACGCCGCGUGCGGGAUGACGGCCUUCGGGUUGUAAACCGCUUUCGCCUGUGACGAAGCGUGAGUGACGGUAAUGGGUAAAGAAGCACCGGCUAACUACGUG
This 467-nucleotide ribosomal RNA is filed under the name uncultured bacterium. Its description in RNAcentral is "partial 16S ribosomal RNA". It matches the Rfam family "Bacterial small subunit ribosomal RNA", at positions 28 to 507 of the family's 1533-position model. The record is from RNAcentral.